GCCGACUUAACAACGAAACACAAACAUAUACUAUCCAACAAACAAACCAUUUGUCCUACUAAGUAGUUGCGAUCGAACAGUUAAAAGUCACACUAAAGUACCGUAAGGGAAGCACUAAAGCGAAAAACAGCAAAGAUCAACCCUUGUACCUUUUGCAUCAUGGUCUAGCAAGAUACCAGGGACAAGAAGAAUCAUAGCCCCUCACCCCGAAACCGGUUGAGCUAUUUCUAAGCAGUCUAAAGGACGCACCCUUCUCUGUAGCAAAAUAGUGGGAAGACUUAAAAAUAGAGGUGAAACGCCUACCGAAUCCGGAGAUAGCUGGCUACCCAAAACAGAAUCUAAGUUCUACUUUAGAUACAACAUUAACCAAUUAACCAUCUAAAGAUAAUCAACAGGGGUACAGCUCUGUUGACCCAGGAUACAACCUGAAUUUGCAAGAAACUAAAUCAUUUAACCCGUAGGCCCUUAAGCAGCCACCCCAAAAAAUAUCGUCAAAGAAUUUAACCCUAAACAAACCCAGCACCAACCAAAAACUUCAAACCAAUUAAAGGUGAACCUACACAGUGUAGAUAUCAUUAUGCUAAAACUAAUAAUAAGACUUCAUCUCUCUUAACGUAACCCUCUGCUAGAAAUAGAAAAACUACUAGCCAUUAACAGACCACAAAAGGUAAACAACAAACCCAUACACACCUUAAAACUCACUGUGACCCCAACACAGGUACGUUAAAAAGAAAGAUCAACUGCUAUAAAAGGAACUCGGCAAUCGAAGACCCCAACUGUUUAACAAAAACAUAACCUUUAGCCAAACCAGUAUUAAAGGCGACGCCUGCCCAGUGAAUAAUUAAACGGCCGCGGUACCCUAACCGUGCAAAGGUAGCAUAAUCAUUUGUCUAUUAAUUGUAGACCUGUAUGAAAGGCAAAAUGAGGGUCUAACUGUCUCUUAUGGCAAAUCAAUUAAACUGAUCUCCUAGUACAAAAGCUAGAAUACCAACAUAAGACCAGAAGACCCUGUGAAGCUUUAAAAAACCUAUUAAAUCAAAUAAUAACUACUUUCGGUUGGGGCGACCUUGGAACAAAAAAGAACUUCCAACACAUGACUUCCUCAUUAAAUAGGCAAACGAGCCAACACCUGAUCCAGUACAACUGAUAAAUGAAACAAGUUACUCCAGGGAUAACAGCGCUAUCUUCUUCAAGAGCCCAUAUCAAAAAGAAGGUUUACGACCUCGAUGUUGGAUCAGGACACCCCAGUAAUGUACCCGUUACUAAAGGUUCGUUUGUUCAACGAUUAAUAGUCCUACGUGAUCUGAGUUCAGACCGGAGCAAUCCAGGUCAGUUUCUAUCUAUGUAGUGCUUUAUCCAGUACGAAAGGACCGAUACAGCAAAGCCAAUGCCCCCCUGCACGCUUUAACCACAAAAUACAACUCUAUUAAAAACGAACAUCACUUACCAACCUAGAUAAGGUUAAUUAAGGGGGCCCGUACCUUA
RNAcentral lists this ribosomal RNA (1485 nucleotides) under Deinagkistrodon acutus (Chinese moccasin). Its description in RNAcentral is "16S ribosomal RNA". It matches the Rfam family "Bacterial large subunit ribosomal RNA", at positions 433 to 2847 of the family's 2925-position model. Lineage: Eukaryota; Metazoa; Chordata; Lepidosauria; Squamata; Viperidae. The record is from RNAcentral.